RNAcentral lists this long non-coding RNA (475 nucleotides) under Olea europaea subsp. europaea. Lineage: Eukaryota; Viridiplantae; Streptophyta; Magnoliopsida; Lamiales; Oleaceae. The record is from RNAcentral.
UUGUAGCCGGUGAAGGAUUUGGCCACGAGAAAAGUAUGAAAAGAAAUUGUCGUGUCACGAACUCCUAGGCAACAUACAUACAUAUUCCAUACGCUUUCCCUCCAUUCAAAUCUUCAUUUUUCUCUCUCCACAGCCAUAGCCAAAACCCUCAAAGUAGCUAUUUUUAGAUACCUCCAAUUCUCCAUACCCUAAAUCAGAUACCUUUUUCCUCCUUAAUUUCCAUCUGGAAAAAGGAGAAAAGGAGAUUUGACAGUUGUUUCAGAGGUGAAGAAGAGUUAAAAAUGGAGAGAGAUUUCAUGGGGUUGACAGUAAAACAGGAGACUCCUGAUGAAACUAUGGAUUCAGGUACUCCAAAUCUUAUUCUAUUUUCUUGAAUUUAUCAUAUUUAAAAAUAUAAUGCUUUAUUAAAAUUCGAGAAAAGCUCUAGUUUAGUUACAUAAUUUGUGCAUUUCUUUUAGAAAAAGAAUCUUGAAAU